This is a long non-coding RNA of Capsicum annuum, 410 nucleotides long. RefSeq lists it as uncharacterized. Lineage: Eukaryota; Viridiplantae; Streptophyta; Magnoliopsida; Solanales; Solanaceae. The record is from RefSeq and is a predicted model, not a curated record. The transcript is spliced from 3 exons.
CCCCAAAACCUAGAAAUAUGAAGCGUUUCCUAUUUCUAUACAUAUUUGUACUCUUCAGACAUGAAGAAUACGCUCUACUCUUCAGGUAUCGCCGUUGUUGUUGCCUGAUGUUUCCCCCUGGAGCCAUCGUUUCAUUUCCUUCCUUCUUUGGGUGGACGGGGAUUGUUCCCACAGGAUUGAAGUUUCAUCAUUACAUCAACUGGUUUAUUCUGAACUUAUGUUAAUUUUUCAACCAGCUCUUCAAAGACUAAGACUAGACCAGUAUGUUGUGAUAGGAGGCGCCCUCAACUGUUUUUGGUGAAGUUUUUUGAUAGCUAGGUUUUGCAUGGUUUCUUUGUCCUUAGAUUGACAAACAAUGUUGUUUUUGUGCUGUUUAUUUUGUAGCAUCCCAUUGAAAAUGUAAUUAUUGG